CAGCAGCCGCGGUAACACGAAGGGUGCAAGCGUUACUCGGAAUUACUGGGCGUAAAGCGUGCGUAGGUGGUGGUUUAAGUCCGUUGUGAAAGCCCUGGGCUCAACCUGGGAAUUGCAGUGGAUACUGGGUCACUAGAGUGUGGUAGAGGAUAGUGGAAUUUCCGGUGUAGCAGUGAAAUGCGUAGAGAUCGGAAGGAACAUCUGUGGCGAAGGCGACUAUCUGGGCCAACACUGACACUGAGGCACGAAAGCGUGGGGAGCAAACAGGAUUAGAUACCCGCGUAGUCCCUGUCUCUUAUAA
Molecule: ribosomal RNA, 301 nt
Filed under: uncultured bacterium
Lineage: Bacteria
Description: partial 16S ribosomal RNA
Rfam family: Bacterial small subunit ribosomal RNA
Source: RNAcentral